Molecule: non-coding RNA, 118 nt
Organism: Lonchura striata (white-rumped munia)
Lineage: Eukaryota; Metazoa; Chordata; Aves; Passeriformes; Estrildidae
Source: RefSeq, a predicted model, not a curated record
CCUGUUAAUACAUCAGCACUACACUGAGAUUGUACAUCCCUUGCCAACAUAUUUUUGACAGGUCAAAGGAUGUUCUCUCAUUCUGAAUUUGAUCUUGUUGUAAAGAAUUUGGCUGGAG